This 253-nucleotide ribosomal RNA is filed under the name uncultured bacterium. Its description in RNAcentral is "partial 16S ribosomal RNA". It matches the Rfam family "Bacterial small subunit ribosomal RNA", at positions 524 to 776 of the family's 1533-position model. The record is from RNAcentral.
GACGAACCGUGCGAACGUUGUUCGGAUUCACUGGGCUUAAAGGGCGCGUAGGCGGCUUGCCAAGUCAGGGGUGAAAUCUUUCGGCUCAACCGGAAAAGUGCUUCUGAUACUGGCGGGCUGGAGGGGGGUAGGGGCAGAUGGAACUUCCGGUGGAGCGGUGAAAUGCGUAGAUAUCGGAAGGAACGCCGGUGGCGAAAGCGAUCUGCUGGACCUCUUCUGACGCUGAGGAGCGAAAGCCAGGGGAGCAAACGGG